This 433-nucleotide unclassified non-coding RNA is filed under the name soil metagenome. RNAcentral describes it as "partial contains 5.8S ribosomal RNA, internal transcribed spacer 2, and large subunit ribosomal RNA". The stretch from base 1 to 120 matches the Rfam family "5.8S ribosomal RNA", at positions 35 to 154 of the family's 154-position model. The record is from RNAcentral.
GAUGAAGAACGCAGCGAAAUGCGAUACGUAAUGUGAAUUGCAGAAUUCAGUGAAUCAUCGAAUCUUUGAACGCAUAUUGCGCUCUCUGGUAUUCCGGAGAGCAUGCUUGUUUGAGUAUCAGUAAACACCUCAACUUCCAUAUCUUUUUUGAAAUGGGAGUUGGACUUGAGUGAUCCCAACGCUUUUCCUCACCGAAAAGUGGCGGGUUACUUGAAAUGCAGGUGCAGCUGGACUUUUCUCUGAGCUAUAAGCAUAUCUAUUUAGUCUGCCUAAAAAACAGAUUAUUACCUUUGCUGCAGCUAACAUAAAGGAGAUUAGUUCUUGUGCUGACUGAUGCAGGAUUCACAAAGACAGGCUUCGGCCGACUUUGUAAACUCGAUCUCAAGUCAAGUAAGACUACCCGCUGAACUUAAGCAUAUCAAUAAGCGGAGGA